GGGUUGUGAGGUUAAGCGACUAAGCGUACACGGUGGAUGCCCUGGCAGUCAGAGGCGAUGAAGGACGUGCUAAUCUGCGAUAAGCGUCGGUAAGGUGAUAUGAACCGUUAUAACCGGCGAUUUCCGAAUGGGGAAACCCAGUGUGUUUCGACACACUAUCAUUAACUGAAUCCAUAGGUUAAUGAGGCGAACCGGGGGAACUGAAACAUCUAAGUACCCCGAGGAAAAGAAAUCAACCGAGAUUCCCCCAGUAGCGGCGAGCGAACGGGGAGCAGCCCAGAGCCUGAAUCAGUGUGUGUGUUAGUGGAAGCGUCUGGAAAGGCGUGCGAUACAGGGUGACAGCCCCGUACACAAAAAUGCACAUGCUGUGAGCUCGAUGAGUAGGGCGGGACACGUGGUAUCCUGUCUGAAUAUGGGGGGACCAUCCUCCAAGGCUAAAUACUCCUGACUGACCGAUAGUGAACCAGUACCGUGAGGGAAAGGCGAAAAGAACCCCGGCGAGGGGAGUGAAAAAGAACCUGAAACCGUGUACGUACAAGCAGUGGGAGCACGCUUAGGCGUGUGACUGCGUACCUUUUGUAUAAUGGGUCAGCGACUUAUAUUCUGUAGCAAGGUUAACCGAAUAGGGGAGCCGAAGGGAAACCGAGUCUUAACUGGGCGUUAAGUUGCAGGGUAUAGACCCGAAACCCGGUGAUCUAGCCAUGGGCAGGUUGAAGGUUGGGUAACACUAACUGGAGGACCGAACCGACUAAUGUUGAAAAAUUAGCGGAUGACUUGUGGCUGGGGGUGAAAGGCCAAUCAAACCGGGAGAUAGCUGGUUCUCCCCGAAAGCUAUUUAGGUAGCGCCUCGUGAAUUCAUCUCCGGGGGUAGAGCACUGUUUCGGCAAGGGGGUCAUCCCGACUUACCAACCCGAUGCAAACUGCGAAUACCGGAGAAUGUUAUCACGGGAGACACACGGCGGGUGCUAACGUCCGUCGUGAAGAGGGAAACAACCCAGACCGCCAGCUAAGGUCCCAAAGUCAUGGUUAAGUGGGAAACGAUGUGGGAAGGCCCAGACAGCCAGGAUGUUGGCUUAGAAGCAGCCAUCAUUUAAAGAAAGCGUAAUAGCUCACUGGUCGAGUCGGCCUGCGCGGAAGAUGUAACGGGGCUAAACCAUGCACCGAAGCUGCGGCAGCGACGCUUAUGCGUUGUUGGGUAGGGGAGCGUUCUGUAAGCCUGCGAAGGUGUGCUGUGAGGCAUGCUGGAGGUAUCAGAAGUGCGAAUGCUGACAUAAGUAACGAUAAAGCGGGUGAAAAGCCCGCUCGCCGGAAGACCAAGGGUUCCUGUCCAACGUUAAUCGGGGCAGGGUGAGUCGACCCCUAAGGCGAGGCCGAAAGGCGUAGUCGAUGGGAAACAGGUUAAUAUUCCUGUACUUGGUGUUACUGCGAAGGGGGGACGGAGAAGGCUAUGUUGGCCGGGCGACGGUUGUCCCGGUUUAAGCGUGUAGGCUGGUUUUCCAGGCAAAUCCGGAAAAUCAAGGCUGAGGCGUGAUGACGAGGCACUACGGUGCUGAAGCAACAAAUGCCCUGCUUCCAGGAAAAGCCUCUAAGCAUCAGGUAACAUCAAAUCGUACCCCAAACCGACACAGGUGGUCAGGUAGAGAAUACCAAGGCGCUUGAGAGAACUCGGGUGAAGGAACUAGGCAAAAUGGUGCCGUAACUUCGGGAGAAGGCACGCUGAUAUGUAGGUGAAGCGACUUGCUCGUGGAGCUGAAAUCAGUCGAAGAUACCAGCUGGCUGCAACUGUUUAUUAAAAACACAGCACUGUGCAAACACGAAAGUGGACGUAUACGGUGUGACGCCUGCCCGGUGCCGGAAGGUUAAUUGAUGGGGUCAGCGCAAGCGAAGCUCUUGAUCGAAGCCCCGGUAAACGGCGGCCGUAACUAUAACGGUCCUAAGGUAGCGAAAUUCCUUGUCGGGUAAGUUCCGACCUGCACGAAUGGCGUAAUGAUGGCCAGGCUGUCUCCACCCGAGACUCAGUGAAAUUGAACUCGCUGUGAAGAUGCAGUGUACCCGCGGCAAGACGGAAAGACCCCGUGAACCUUUACUAUAGCUUGACACUGAACAUUGAGCCUUGAUGUGUAGGAUAGGUGGGAGGCUUUGAAGUGUGGACGCCAGUCUGCAUGGAGCCGACCUUGAAAUACCACCCUUUAAUGUUUGAUGUUCUAACGUUGACCCGUAAUCCGGGUUGCGGACAGUGUCUGGUGGGUAGUUUGACUGGGGCGGUCUCCUCCUAAAGAGUAACGGAGGAGCACGAAGGUUGGCUAAUCCUGGUCGGACAUCAGGAGGUUAGUGCAAUGGCAUAAGCCAGCUUGACUGCGAGCGUGACGGCGCGAGCAGGUGCGAAAGCAGGUCAUAGUGAUCCGGUGGUUCUGAAUGGAAGGGCCAUCGCUCAACGGAUAAAAGGUACUCCGGGGAUAACAGGCUGAUACCGCCCAAGAGUUCAUAUCGACGGCGGUGUUUGGCACCUCGAUGUCGGCUCAUCACAUCCUGGGGCUGAAGUAGGUCCCAAGGGUAUGGCUGUUCGCCAUUUAAAGUGGUACGCGAGCUGGGUUUAGAACGUCGUGAGACAGUUCGGUCCCUAUCUGCCGUGGGCGCUGGAGAACUGAGGGGGGCUGCUCCUAGUACGAGAGGACCGGAGUGGACGCAUCACUGGUGUUCGGGUUGUCAUGCCAAUGGCACUGCCCGGUAGCUAAAUGCGGAAGAGAUAAGUGCUGAAAGCAUCUAAGCACGAAACUUGCCCCGAGAUGAGUUCUCCCUGACUCCUUGAGAGUCCUGAAGGAACGUUGAAGACGACGACGUUGAUAGGCCGGGUGUGUAAGCGCAGCGAUGCGUUGAGCUAACCGGUACUAAUGAACCGUGAGGCUUAACCUUACAACGCCGAAGCUGUU
This 2930-nucleotide ribosomal RNA is filed under the name Escherichia coli. RNAcentral describes it as "23S ribosomal RNA". It matches the Rfam family "Bacterial large subunit ribosomal RNA". Lineage: Bacteria; Pseudomonadati; Pseudomonadota; Gammaproteobacteria; Enterobacterales; Enterobacteriaceae. The record is from RNAcentral.